RNAcentral lists this ribosomal RNA (384 nucleotides) under Lactiplantibacillus paraplantarum. RNAcentral describes it as "bacterial SSU rRNA". It matches the Rfam family "Bacterial small subunit ribosomal RNA", at positions 476 to 858 of the family's 1533-position model. The record is from RNAcentral. Lineage: Bacteria; Bacillati; Bacillota; Bacilli; Lactobacillales; Lactobacillaceae.
UAUUUAACCAGAAAGCCCCGGCUAACUACGUGCCAGCAGCCGCGGUAAUACGUAGGUGGCAAGCGUUGUCCGGAUUUAUUGGGCGUAAAGCGAGCGCAGGCGGUUUUUUAAGUCUGAUGUGAAAGCCUUCGGCUCAACCGAAGAAGUGCAUCGGAAACUGGGAAACUUGAGUGCAGAACAGGACAGUGGAACUCCCUGUGUAGCGGUGAAAUGCGUAGAUAUAUGGAAGAACACCAGUGGCGAAGGCGGCUGUCUGGUCUGUAACUGACGCUGAGGCUCGAAAGUAUGGGUAGCAAACAGGAUUAGAUACCCUGGUAGUCCAUACCGUAAACGAUGAAUGCUAAGUGUUGGAGGGUUUCCGCCCUUCAGUGCUGCAGCUAACGC